This 118-nucleotide ribosomal RNA is filed under the name Anas platyrhynchos platyrhynchos (common mallard). Lineage: Eukaryota; Metazoa; Chordata; Aves; Anseriformes; Anatidae. The record is from RNAcentral.
GUCUAUCAUUACAUCACCCUGAACAUGCCUGAUCCCUCCCAUUGUGGAAAUUAGAUAGGAUCAGGCCCAGUAACUGCUUGGAUGGGAGACAGCUGGUGAACACCAGGUAUCGUAGGCU